UACGGGGGGGGCAAGCGUUGUUCGGAAUUACUGGGCGUAAAGGGCUCGUAGGCGGCCAACUAAGUCGGAUGUGAAAUCCCCAGGCUUAACCUGGGAAUUGCAUCCGAUACUGGAUGGCUUGAAUCCGGGAGAGGGAUGCGGAAUUCCAGGUGUAGCGGUGAAAUGCGUAGAUAUCGUGAGGAAGGCCAGUGGCGAAAGCGAAUCUCUGGACAGCUCUUGACGCUGAUGCACGAAGGCCAGGGGAGCAAACGGG
Molecule: ribosomal RNA, 253 nt
Filed under: uncultured bacterium
Lineage: Bacteria
Description: partial 16S ribosomal RNA
Rfam family: Bacterial small subunit ribosomal RNA
Source: RNAcentral